Cynoglossus semilaevis (tongue sole) is the source of this 3651-nucleotide long non-coding RNA. RefSeq lists it as uncharacterized. The record is from RefSeq and is a predicted model, not a curated record. Lineage: Eukaryota; Metazoa; Chordata; Actinopteri; Pleuronectiformes; Cynoglossidae. The transcript is spliced from 3 exons.
GGAGGAGGGAGGAGGGAGUCCCAGAGGUUAAAUAAAGCAGGUGUUAUUGGUUUGAUCAGUAAAGCGUGGAAGGGCUUCGCUGCAUCACAGCCACGACUUCCCAUUUACAGCUAAUAGCCAUGUGUGCAACGCGCACUUCCCACCGCCCACCACCAGGCCUGGGAACGUUAGACGGCGUGUUCACGUGCUGUGAGAGGCUGUUACCGCUCACGGUCAUCAGUGUAACGUGUUACUGUUGUUGUUGUUGUUGUUGUGUACGAUGUCCUGAGGGUGGCAGUAAAUGGUCUUUAUCGUUGACAGUCUCACGGCUGUCAAUCACACAUCUGGGCCAAUGGUGACUUUCAACAACACCCGCCUCAUUAAUGAGCAGUGACUCCGCCCUCACCUCAGGGGCACUGCAGUCACCGAGAGCCAAUCAGAUCAUCACACAGGCAUCAAACAUGCAUGGUACAAUACGUCAGUCAAAAAGUUCUGAGACAGUGGUUUUCAAAUGUAAGGGGCGCGUGUCCCUGUAGGGACGGCACCCAUCCUUCAAGGAUGACCUUUGACAUCAGGUCACAACCUGCUUCUCUGACUGGUCUAAGGACCUAAAAUCCACUUCCUUUCACAUUUUCUUUCAAUUUCAGGGAAAAUAAAAACCUGUUUUUCUCCCCACUGUUGCCACAGCACCACUGUGUGUGUGUGUGAUCUAUUUUGGAUUUCUAUGAUAAAUGUCAAACACAUUCUAGUUUGUCUUGUUAAUAUAAUUUUGACAUAAUAAUGACUAGAAACACAGUCCUCUGUUCCAGAUGUUAAAUGUCAAAACAGUAAAGUCACUUCAGCCUAAAUAUGACUCGUAUCUUUGGUUAAACAAUUAAAUUCGUUGACUUAAACCAGACAUGAACAAUAAUACGGAACUUGUAACGAAAAUGUUUAAAUUAAAGUUAGUCAUAAACAAUCCUCCGUGGAUUCAACGAACUAUUACCGAAGACUUAACUAAACGAAACACAAUCAGGAAGUUAAUCUCUGGCAAAAUGAUGAUGACACAGCGAGGUGGCGAUAGCCAAUCAGAGCUAUGUGUCUUACCAAAGGGCGGGACAUGUAAACGGAAAUACAAUCCUCGCGAACGUGUUUACGGCAGUAAGAUACGCAGAGAGAGAGACAGCGUGAAACCAGGAGCGGGAAGAAUGUUGUCAGUUUGGGACGAAGCGUCACCAGAACUUGUCCGCUACGACGGCUGUAGUUUAUGGUUCCGUGUUACUUUGAACGACAACGAACACAUUACGUCAACGUCAACUUUGUGGAACGAGGACGAGGAAAGAACGCGAGAGAUUUGAGAGGUCACCUGUCGACGUCAUCACGCAAAGACAGCAGUCCAGCCGACUGUCCCUCCUCACGGUGACGUCACCCCUGUAACAUCCACCACCACAGUGACCGGGAGUUUGCUGCGGGCCAGAACGCUGCGGCUGAAGCUCAGCCAAUCUGGAACGCAGCUCCGCCUUCCUGGAGAUCUGAGAGCAGAGAAGGCACAAGAUUGGUCGCCAAGCAAACUACUACAUUCACAAGUCGUCUGUGCGCACCAGCAACACACUUGGCUGGUCCUGAAUCGCCAGACCAGCAACUGGCAACGUGUGCUCAACUUCUGAUUGUCACUGAUGAAAAAUGUAUGAAUGAGUGAAUUAGGACGGUCAGCUGACUGUGACCAGAGCAGCAGACCGUCCUCAGGUUCUCUUCACGUCAUUUGGAACGUGUGUGUGAAGGCCGUCAGGGUUCCUCGAUAGAACGUUGUUAAACCUUAGCCUUAGUUUUGGACUAGGAACCAACACAUGACCGACAUCAGUGGAGACGGGAGCUGUAGUGACACAGACGACGUGGGCGUCAACAGUCAGUGACCUUGGUAUGACCUGCUUUCACUUGAACUGUAAGACGUGGAAGAAAAUCAACAAAUCUACAAAUGCAUUUUUAAUCAAGGGCAUUAUCAACAACGACCACAUGGUGUCAGCGUGAUUAGAGCUCUUGCCCUUGAGCAAAAAAGAUCUCUGGUUCAAGCCAAGGUGGAAACUGAUAGUGUUUCCAGUUUUGAUUCAAGUGCCUUAAAAGAGGUUAUGGGGAAGAACGCCCCCUUCUGCCCAUAUCUUAAAAGUCCAGAAUGUAAAUAAUAAUAAAAGAUAAAUGUUUACACAGUUAUGAAGAGUCCAAUAUUAUAUAUAAGAUAAUUAUUAAAAGAAAUAUUUUCCUUUUUAUUUGCUCAUUUUGUUAUUUUCAAGACAGAGCACAGGGAAAUGAUUACUAUUAUUAAUUUAUAUAAGUAACCUGCCCCCUCCAGCAGGUGGCAGCCUAACCCUAACCCUGGUUCUUGCUCUAUCUGCACUGAUAUGUUGUUUUGUUUUUGUUUUUCCUAAACUGCUGUUGAACAAUCACCUAAAUACCUGUCAGAGUUUCUGAGCACAGGUUCCACUACAAUUUUUCAUUAAAAUAUUUUUCCACACGACCUCGGAGGCAGAGCUAUUGACAAAUCAACCACUUCAGAUUUGGAUGACUUAAAUGCCCCAGAUUUGUCAGUAUGGCAGGCAGGAAAUAGAACUGCACCAAGCAGAGUGUUUCCCACAGGGCUGGUGUCUGAGAACCUGAGUUCUCUAAUUUAAGGAACAAACUGAGACGUUUAAAUUGAGUAAAAACUAGAAAAUAACCAUUAAAAAAAAAGUCUUUCUGUUCUGACAAUUAGUAUAAAAGAAGAAUCAGAAAAAAAUGAACCUGACGCAGGACUCAACACUGGGUCAGAAAAUGUCCUCGCAAAACAAAACAAAAAAUACCCCUGGAUGAAAAUACUACACGAUAGAGUAAUGUAGAAAUACUGUACACAAAUGAAUAAAGUAAUCAGAAACACAUAUGUAUUGCACAGGUACUACUGUGUACUACUGUGUACUCCUGACUCCAAAGAAUCUCGGUACCAAAUAUUUAUAUCUGUGUUUGUGUUUGAGUCACAGUCGCUGUUAUUUCCUGACCUUCAAUUAGCGACGACAUUUAAAGACCAUCAUUUUCUCCAUUUAAAUCAACUGUAUUUUAACAGUACGUAGCUUUUCCAAAGUUUCUGAUAAUUUUUUAAAAAAUCUUAUUUUCUGCUCUUUGGAUUUGAAAGAUUCUGAUUCCUAACGGUAAAGUCUGUUUUUGUUUUCUAUGCUGUUGAAAUGUAGUCAUUCAUGUUCACGCUGUUGUCUACACACAACACAUAAACUCUUUAACUGUUUCCUGUUUAGAACAGAGAUUUUAUCCUUUAUUUAUUCUUUAUUCUUUUUGUCACUUUUCUUUUUUAAGAGUUCCAAUGUGGAGGAGUUUUUAAUUUCAUGUUCAUCUGCUAUUUUUCCAACAAAAUCAGAGUCGGUGUCUACCAGUGUUCCAAAGUACCACCAGUAGAACGUGUGCCGUAGGUUGACAACCACUGUCCUGGUCGAUGAGUCAGUGAUUAGAGGACGAUUGUUCGUAUCGUUUGUGCUAGUAUCGCAUUUCUGACUUUUAAUGUACGUGUAUUUUCUAAGUGAAGUUCGCGGAGAUUAUUAAGAAUGAAUAUGUGGAAGAAACUACGAACAGACGAGAACAGAAACAUGGCUGUGUUUGUUGUGAUGGAGACACAACGAAGACAACAAAGAACACACAAAGGCAGACAAAGUGUUC